This 407-nucleotide ribosomal RNA is filed under the name uncultured rumen bacterium. Its description in RNAcentral is "bacterial SSU rRNA". It matches the Rfam family "Bacterial small subunit ribosomal RNA", at positions 509 to 916 of the family's 1533-position model. The record is from RNAcentral.
CAGCAGCCGCGGUAAUACGUAGGCAGCAAGCGUUGUUCGGAGUUACUGGGCGUAAAGAGUGCGUAGGCGGUGCCCUAAGUCUGUUGUGAAAUCUCCCGGCUUAACUGGGAGGGUGCGGUGGAAACUGGGGUGCUUGAGAGUGGGAGAGGUUAGCGGAAUUCCUGGUGUAGCGGUGAAAUGCGUAGAUAUCAGGAGGAACACCGGUGGUGUAGACGGCUGACUGGACCACGACUGACGCUGAGGCACGGAAGCGUGGGUAGCAAACAGGAUUAGAUACCCUGGUAGUCCACGCCCUAAACGAUGCAUACUUGGUGUGAGCCAUUCAUUUGGUUCGUGCCGGAGCUAACGCGUUAAGUAUGCCGCCUGGGGAGUACGGUCGCAAGGCUGAAACUCAAAUAAAUUGACGG